GAAGGCUUUAGCUUAAUUAAAGUGUCUGAGUUGCAAUCAGGUGAUGUAGUCGUGAUUACAGGUCUUCA
This 68-nucleotide transfer RNA is filed under the name Cyrtodactylus tigroides. RNAcentral's name for it is "tRNA-Ala". It matches the Rfam family "tRNA". From Rfam's summary of the family: Transfer RNA (tRNA) molecules are approximately 80 nucleotides in length. Lineage: Eukaryota; Metazoa; Chordata; Lepidosauria; Squamata; Gekkonidae. The record is from RNAcentral.